This is a long non-coding RNA of Eublepharis macularius, 1091 nucleotides long. RefSeq lists it as uncharacterized. NCBI's taxonomy places the organism in Eukaryota, Metazoa, Chordata, Lepidosauria, Squamata, Eublepharidae. The transcript is spliced from 3 exons. The record is from RefSeq and is a predicted model, not a curated record.
GUUGCCAAUCUCCUGGGGGUGUUUGGCGAUCUCCUGGAAUUUCAGCUGAUCUCCAGGCCACAGAUGCCAACUCUCCAGGAAAAAACGCUUUCAGGGCUCCCUCUGCUGGCCAGAAUAGGAACCAUCAAGAGCCUUCCAAAAUCUCGCACACAUCUUCAACCAGAAAAACUAGUCCUGAGGAGUGAAAGUGUGAUUAGGGGAACAUGGAUUCCGUUAUACCCAUUUACAAACACCUUAUAGAAGGGGCUUGUUACAAGCACAAAAUUGGGGACAUUUUGGUUUUCAGCCGAAGCAUUAAUUUUGGCCUUGGGGCACCAAGGAGGAAAAAAGCACAACUUUUCUGUUCAUGGACAGGUCCUAAUUUGAUCAGUGGCAAGGUAGUUCCCCAUUUCCACCUUGCCAGGCCCUUCCCCACCUUUUGGUACUCUUUGCUGCGGAUCAUCAGGGAAGAAGCUAAGGUGCAAGAGAAAAAAAGCCAUGUAAAUCAUGUAUGUAUGUGGAAGAAGUCUAAAACAACUGCUGCUGGAUACUCCUUGCUACCAAGACUGUCGGGCUGCACGUGGUGGAAGCAAUCAGAAGACAAGAGAAUACGGGACUGAAUCCACUCAGUCUCGUCUAGCGCCUCUCCAUAUUACAGCCUCCAUCCCACAUGGUUUUGUACAUGCAAGUUCCAUGAUUCUCAGCAGAGCCUUUCUGUGCAGUCCCAAAGAGGACACUGUUAUCAGAACUGCUAUUUAUGGGGAAAUUAGCAUGCAGUCUGGGUUUAAAUUAGUACGGAUCUUAACCAGCUAUACCAGAGUCCGUCUUCCAGAUUACUCAUGCAAUAAAGAGGCAAGACUAAUAAAGAUAAAACGUGUUUUACUAAUAGUGUUGCGUAUGCCUACAAUAACACACACAAGCAAGGUACAUACAAGAACUAGGAAAUAAAGAGUAGGAAAAAUAGAGCCGUUUGCAUUAGCAGGAGAACCCACUUGAGAUCGAUGAAUAGGGGUAAUACGCACCUGGUCACGGCGAAGAAUAAAGAUGUAGCAGCGAAGCAGGGUGAUAUCUAAUGCCUGCACUAGACACGCAGAGUGACAGUCGGGGUUGAG